UCGCCUGGAGGCUCUCAUUGGGGCGGGGGGGGGUACUGUUAUGGUCCUGUCUGGCAAUCCCCCACCUUGCCAUUUGCCUCAAGAUUUGGGCCUCGAUCACCUCAUUUAGAUUCCAAUCAUUCCCAGGUAUCACUGACAACACGCACCUGCUUCCCAUCAAACGGCAGGAUAAGAAACCUGUGACCACAGCAAGAAGCCGCCAGUUCGUUGGUCGACUUUUGUGAGAGUAAACCUUGUUUCCUAUUCCUGAGAAGUGUUAGUUCUAAGCUUCGCAUCGUCUCCUGGAUAUCGGCUCCCCGUUCGUGGAGCUGUUGGUUGCAAAUGCAUUUUCCCAGAUGAUUGCAAAAUCAGGCACCUCACUGACCCGGUGAGGAUAAAUGUUUCCAGUGAGAUACAGGGAGAAGAUUAAGGCUAAUUGAGAGGAGGACACAUCUAACAUGCCAAAGAGAGAUGCUAUGGAUGCAACGGGAGGUGAGGACCUCGAUAAAAUAGCUAUCACCAAAGAGGUAGUGCUGAGCAAACUUGUGGGCCUGAAGAUAGACAAGUCCCCUGGUCCUUUGGAAUGCAUCCCAGGGUA
Molecule: long non-coding RNA, 577 nt
Organism: Mobula hypostoma (lesser devil ray)
Lineage: Eukaryota; Metazoa; Chordata; Chondrichthyes; Myliobatiformes; Myliobatidae
Exons: 3
Source: RefSeq, a predicted model, not a curated record